Molecule: non-coding RNA, 144 nt
Organism: Lupinus albus (white lupine)
Lineage: Eukaryota; Viridiplantae; Streptophyta; Magnoliopsida; Fabales; Fabaceae
Source: the annotation of a GenBank genome assembly
GACAUAAGGUUUCCACAUCCACGGUUCUUUAAGGGUGGAAAUAGAGUUGUAGUAUGAAAAUGACUAGCACCUAAUUAAUGUAUUUGCCCUUUUUAAGGUGAGUUGUGUUAAUAUAGGUUUAUGAAGGACUUUUCAUAAUGAAAA